This is a long non-coding RNA of Felis catus (domestic cat), 362 nucleotides long. RefSeq lists it as uncharacterized. The record is from RefSeq and is a predicted model, not a curated record. The transcript has 2 exons. NCBI's taxonomy places the organism in Eukaryota, Metazoa, Chordata, Mammalia, Carnivora, Felidae.
CUCAGCAGUAUCAUGAAGAUAAGCCAUACCUUCCCUAGAAAGGAGGAAGCAGGAAGGGCACCAUCACCAGCAUACGAACACAUUUCCACCCAACACCAUGUCUUAAGUAUUUACAGGGUGGAGGCUGGAGAACUGAGAGAUUGGAACAUGGAGACAGACCAGAAGUUGAAGAUGUGAAAAGAUGUCUCAAAGUACAACUGUUUCAAAUGGUCAUUAGGAGCAAUUUAAGUGACCAAGGAUAGUAUGUGCAUGAGCUUCUGACAUUAGCUACGUGGAUGCUUCCUCUAUUCAGAGCUGAGUAGAGAAAAGCCUUUCCCUAAAGGAUGAUUUCAGGCAAGAAUUUAUUUUAGCUAUCAACAUGA